GACCUACGGGAGGCAGCAGUGAGGAAUAUUGGUCAAUGGGCGGAAGCCUGAACCAGCCAAGUCGCGUGAGGGAUUAAGGCCCUGCGGGUCGUAAACCUCUUUUGCCGGGGAGCAGUGGUCCAGACGCGUCCGGACCGGGAGAGUACCCGGAGAAAAAGCAUCGGCUAACUCCGUGCCAGCAGCCGCGGUAAUACGGAGGAUGCGAGCGUUGUCCGGAUUUAUUGGGCGUAAAGCGAGUGCAGGCGGUUCAAUAAGUCU
RNAcentral lists this ribosomal RNA (258 nucleotides) under uncultured bacterium. Its description in RNAcentral is "partial 16S ribosomal RNA". It matches the Rfam family "Bacterial small subunit ribosomal RNA", at positions 334 to 590 of the family's 1533-position model. The record is from RNAcentral.